This is a ribosomal RNA of 128 nucleotides. It matches the Rfam family "Bacterial large subunit ribosomal RNA", at positions 1 to 125 of the family's 2925-position model.
UUAGGUCAAGCUACAAAGGGCGCAUGGUGAAUGCCUUGGCAUCAGGAGCCGAUGAAGGACGCGAUAAGCUGCGAUAAGCUUCGGGUAGACGCACAUAGUCAGAGAUCCGAAGAUUUCCGAAUGAGGAA